GUACUAGCUUUUUCGUUUAGUGAGAAACAGCCAAUUAUUAAGCUUAUUAUUCGGUGAUAUUACAUCUUUUUUGUUUUUUAACAUCGAGUUGAUAUCAAGCUUUCAUUGUUUAAAUGGAUUAAAAAAAAAAAAAAAAACUUUCAUUGAGGUUCUUAAUCUUAUCUUCUGAGUAAAAGAGAAUUAUGCUCGAAUAACAUAGUUUAAAAUUCAAUAAUUAUUAAAAACACGGAAGGUAUUUUCAUGAGGCAGCAAACUUCAACAUCAC
Molecule: long non-coding RNA, 265 nt
Filed under: Capsella rubella
Lineage: Eukaryota; Viridiplantae; Streptophyta; Magnoliopsida; Brassicales; Brassicaceae
Description: long non-coding RNA (CRUB_LNC003423)
Source: RNAcentral